RNAcentral lists this ribosomal RNA (266 nucleotides) under Bacidia rubella. RNAcentral's name for it is "partial 18S ribosomal RNA". Lineage: Eukaryota; Fungi; Ascomycota; Lecanoromycetes; Lecanorales; Ramalinaceae. The record is from RNAcentral.
GGUUCGCCUACAGAUAAUCCCCCGCCGCGACUCUAAAGAACGUGCUGAUCAGUCGCCCUGACAGGGCCGGCGACGUGUUCAGUCUGCGCUGGAAGCCUUUGCGUAACCAGCAGCCUCCUGAGGAGGUUCACAGAUCAAAUGAGCGCGGCCACUGCUCGUGGUUCCGAUAUGACCGACCUCGGCUCUCGCGAGCUGGAGACAGAGUGGAACCUGCGGAAGGAUCAUUACUGAGAGGAGCUUCGUGCUCCAGGGGGCUCCGGCCCCCG